UAGGAAAGGUUCAGAAGGGCUUACUAGAU
RNAcentral lists this non-coding RNA (29 nucleotides) under Rattus norvegicus (Norway rat). Lineage: Eukaryota; Metazoa; Chordata; Mammalia; Rodentia; Muridae. The record is from RNAcentral.